GUCAUCAUUUCGUCUGUAAUGCCUGUGGUCAGCCCAUCUGAGCACCCUGAAGCCGUCGCUCAGAGCGGAAGCUUGCUGUAAGUGAUUCAAGUAGUCUGCAGUGGCACUGAGCGUACCCUGGCUGGCUGCUUAAGCAAAGCCUCCUGGUGUGGUCAGGUUGCAUAUGGUGCUGUGUUUGUUGCUGUCCUUUGGAAUGCAACAAAAGCUCCUAGGGCAAAGGACUCUAUUUUAAGCAAAAAGAAAAGAGCAAGAAUAUGUACCUAGUGACCAUAGCUUUUUCUGAUUACGGAUCUUUACCUUGAAUCCUUUUCCUAAAAAGAAGUAAUGAUGCCACCUACUGGCCGAGGACAGACCACUUCUGGGAUCAGGUACUUGGUAAUGAAGCUUGCGUGUUCUGUCCUAUGCUGCAGUUUCACAGAGAUAUGAAAUCAGUAGUUACUGGGCAGCUGUAUCUUAGCUGGUUGGAAAGUGACACAAUAUAUACACUUGGCAUGCUUGGAAAGCACGUUUCUUUUCCCGGGAAAAGUACCAUGAAGUGUGACUUGGGUCUUAGCUUCAAAUGCCAGAGGCGUUAAUAGAUUGCUACGAAGAGCUGAAGAACACAGAAAACUAUAACCUCAGGAGGUGAGGGACUGAGAAGGGGGUGACAUGCAGAUUUGUUAGGAAGUACUUUAUGUGACUUCUGCAUUAUAUCUAGCCCAAGAAAUGAAUUCGCAAGACUUCUAGAAAAACAAAACAAACAAACAAACCCCCCUACAUCUGGUUAAUCAGCAUCACAAUCACAAUAGUAAUACUUUGAAGGGAAGUUACCAUGGAAAGAACUAGGAUGCAAGCAGCAAAGAAACACUGCAGUGGGACUGUGAAGAGGAUUUUGAUGUAAAGUAAUGCAAGGAUCCAAGUAUAAGAAAAUUCAUGCAAUUAGUGGCAUCAUGCAAUUGCAUCUGCAAAGUCCUGACUUUGUUCAGCAGAGAAGUGAUUUGGAGCAUACUGACAGUACAAGGGUCUGUGUUAACUGGAAAGAAAAAAAAUCUUUGUUGACAAAGGUGCUGCCAGGACACUUGCCUAACUGAUGAGCUACUUUGUGAUCCACAGCAAGGAAGGCCAAACUUCCGUGUCUCUAGUUUUACUUCACUGCUUAAUUAUUUCUCACAGAAGAGGAUGUCUCUUUUAACUGAUUUGUAAGAUACAUAUAACAGCUAACCUUUUGGCUCUAUCGCCAUAUUAUAAAUACACACUGCAUGUGGUUUGUUUCCAAGAGCCUUCCAAACUUAAAAAGAAGCAAGAACCUAUGAACUAUGCAAGUAGCUGAAGAUAGUUCUGCAAUAUUUUUGGCAAGUGUCAUACAAGAAGUUGCAACAAAUACAGACGAAAUCCUGUAAUAAUUUAAUACCAGACUGCAUUCUGCUUUCCAUACAGUAUAUCCCAUGCAUUAUUUGUUGCGCUGCAAAUUUUCUUUAUUGUCACAUGUUACAUUACAGGAGUUAUCAAGAGGGAAGCUAGAAAUGUUGGCAGCUGCACAGAAGGAUAGACAGGGAUUUUGUCAUCCAUAGAGGGUAACAUUUCUUAGGAGGACUCUAACCAGAGCCUUCAUUUUAUCACUCUUCUCCAAGACAGUCUGCAUGUGCUGCUUGCAGCCCAGCAGUGGGAGAGAAACAAGCUACUUCAUGUUUGUCUCUUUGAUAUACCAGAAGUGUUCAUUCUCCAUGGAAAUCUGAAUUUCUGUAGAAAUUCAUCCCAGCACUGUGGUUCAGCUACCUUGUCAAAAACAGCAAGCAAUGGAGCAAAAGAACAGACAAUGACAAUAGACAAGAAUCAGCAGAUUGGAACUCUCCCUGGCAGCAGCAAAAGAUGACAACAUCCCUCUGCUAUUCCUCCAUAUCAGUAGGUUAAUCCAGAAGGAGAGGGCAAGAUAAAUAUCACUAAGACUAUCAAGAAGCAGAAUAUAAAAGCUCAAGCUUUACACUGUACACUGCAGAUCCUGAAAGGGAAGUGCCAGGCUCGUCUUGUUGAGAUAAUGGGUUUUUAUGACUGUAGAUUGCAAGAAGAUGCACAUCCUUGGUAGACUUCAUUUAUGGGCCAUUUUGGUCAGACUGUCAAAGGGAAGCUGUCAUUUGAGAAAUUAUGGGCCAUGCUGUGUUCUGUUUCCCUAGGCUAGUCUGCUGUCUCAUUCAGCCUGGCUUCACAAAAUGCAAAUGCAUCCAUGUCUACGUCAAUGGACGUGUGUCCCUCAAAGUUAGUUUGUAAGUGUAUUGACCAAUUUCAACUCAAUUAAAAAGGGUUGAAAUCUCACCAAUAUAGUUGUGCAUAUCAUCUGGAGCUUGAUGUGGAGGGACAAAACUGAGCCUGUUUGCCAGCGAUGAUAUGGUGGGCUGGUUUGCAGGUCUUUCUGGGUUCAGCACAGCACAUGCUGUCUCUUGUCAAAAGUGGGUGUGGGGGUAAGUGUUACAGGAGAUAGGGAGCUGAAAUUACUGUGGGAGGGGAGAAUAUAGGGGACAGAGUACAUGUUGCUUGGAGGCUAUACUUAGUUAUUUCUGCUGCUUACAGUAUAACCUGUUUUAUUACCAGGACCUAAUUUGGUGUCUGGUGUUAAUAAUUAACGUAACCAGGUCUUCCCCUGUUACCCUUGAUUUCUAAUUAACAGUGUUAUAAGUAUUUUAAAUUGGAAAUAAAGUGUUGGCCUUUUAUUUGGACAAAACCAACAAGUCAUUACUCAAAGGAAACCACCCUGACGCUUACAUGGGUUUGGUGGUAGCACCAGGGAACAAUGUUCAAGAUCAUCAGGCUUCCUUUUCUGUGCCCUUUUUACCACGUAGUAAGGUACAAGGAGCCUCCAACAGACUUUGUGAAAUUGCCUUGUUCUGCACAAAUAGCUUUUAACCAUGUACAUCACUGUUUUCUUGAUGAUUCUUGUGGGUUCCUUCCAACUCAGGAUAUUCUGUGAUUCUAUGAUCCUCUGAGAAGAUGGGAGAACCAUCCUGCAGAGA
This is a long non-coding RNA of Cygnus olor (mute swan), 2984 nucleotides long. RefSeq lists it as uncharacterized. The record is from RefSeq and is a predicted model, not a curated record. NCBI's taxonomy places the organism in Eukaryota, Metazoa, Chordata, Aves, Anseriformes, Anatidae. The transcript is spliced from 4 exons.